Small nuclear RNA from Ailuropoda melanoleuca (giant panda), 104 nucleotides. Lineage: Eukaryota; Metazoa; Chordata; Mammalia; Carnivora; Ursidae. The record is from Ensembl.
AUGCUCGUUUUGGUAGCACAUAUACUAAAAUUGGAACGAUACAGAGAUUAGCAUGGCCCCUGAGCAAAGAUGACAUGCAAAUUUGUGAAGUGUUCCAUAUUUUU